Andrographis paniculata is the source of this 3121-nucleotide long non-coding RNA. RefSeq lists it as uncharacterized. The transcript is spliced from 2 exons. Lineage: Eukaryota; Viridiplantae; Streptophyta; Magnoliopsida; Lamiales; Acanthaceae. The record is from RefSeq and is a predicted model, not a curated record.
UAAUUUUCGCGCAUUCUAGUCGUCUUCCUGUUUCCCGAGAGCUCCAACCCUGUAAGGGAGUUCUCCACAGGAAUGGCCAAGGGAGUUGAGAUUUCUCUUCUCCCUUGGCCACCACUUUACUGUUUACUUAGUUUAAUUUAUUGCUUUAAUUACAGUCUUUGUAGAAUUAGAAAUUUCAACUUUGGUAGUAAGUAAUGAAAUAUCAUUUGCUCUUCAUUAUCACUUCUUCCACACUUUUCACACUUAUAUAAAUUCUAAUUGUAAAGAAUUUUUACUUAGCUAGUAAAGAGCACAAAAAGAUUGUUUAUCCAAGCCUUGUCUUUUGUCACAAAAAUAUUCAAGGUAGUUCAAUGUAGUUGAGUACGUGGGAGCCUUGUCGACCUGCUUAACUACUGGUUUGAAUUCAAUCUUGAUUAAAAAGAGGUAACAAAAGGGUAAAUACACUAAUGAGAUAGAAAUUGGAAUAAUUAAUGGGGCAUAGGCAGUGGUCUAUUGGGUUGUAGAAACUCCUAGUGACAGUAGGGUUUCUUUCUCAUAAUGUUCUAAUUCUGAGCGUCAUUGAAGUCUUAUUGUAAAUCCCUUAAGGUCAAGUACCAGCAAUAAAAGUUCUAUAUAAUCUGGUUUAUAAAUUUACAUUAUCUCCUUCUCCCGUUUCCGUAUUAUACAUAUAUGUUCGCUUAAACACCAGCACCAUUUGCUCACUUCCUCCAGGAAAACCUAGCCAUUAAGUAAUGCACAAUUCAGACACAACACCUCUCCUUCAAUCUCUAUCGCUCAAUUUAUACACAUAUGCGUUGUGUGUCAUCCGCCCAUGUCCUCUCGCUCAUCCAUCCCUGGCAUCUUGCCCGCUCACCACCGGUUCGCUCGCCACUACUCCGCUCUUUACCGCUUUUAUUUCCAGCUUUCUUUAGAUUAAGAUUUAGACCCGCUUUGCAACGGGUCCUUUUACUGCAUUUCCGCCGCUUUCAUGAGAUCAAUACUUGACUUAAAUUCGUGAUUUAAAAUUCCUGUAUUCGACCUGGAAACUCACCAGUUAAAUAGUAUAAAUAAUUAUGAUAACCAUUCAGGGUCUACAACCACCAAUUUUUUACUAUAUCUGAUCGCUCUCUAUAAUCCAUUACAUCAUAAUCUUCGAAUGAUAAUUCCUUGUGACUAUAUAUACACCAUCCCCAAGUCAUCAGUCGCAGUAUUAUUUGGAUAAAAUAUUAUCCGUUGGAUAGAUUUAUUAUAAUCUCAAACGGAAAGUUUGAAAUUAGAAUAAAUUACAAUCGUUUCAAACAGAAGGUUUGAAAUUAGAAUAAAUUACAAUCGUUUCAAACGGAAUGUUUGAAAUUAGAAUAAAUUACGAUCGUCAUAAACAGAAACUUUGUAAUUAGAAUAAAUUAUGACCGCUUCAAACGGAAGGUUUGAAUUUAGAAUAAAUUAAAUCAGUAAUUAAGGUCAUAAUUAUGAUCGUAAUUGAUAUUCUAUCAUUUUGGCCGAGUGAAGACGCCUAUAUAAAGCCCCCUUCAUUCUUGACAUACCAACAACUCUCUCCUCCUUUUCUCCUCUCUCCUAGCUUUCCGGAAAUCUCCCCAACUCAAUUUCUCUCUCGCUUUGUUCGUCGGAACACCAAAUAGUAGAGGUGCCACUUUCAUUGAAAACGUAAAUCGUUUUAUCUUUGGGUUAGAACGCCAGCCACCGGAUACACUACCGGAGCGUAUCUAAUUUUCGAAAAGAUGAUCCAUCGUCGACUCGGUCCUACGGUAUAUUUUACUCUUGCAAUACCAAUUUAAACCAACAUUUUAACCUUAUCCUUAAUUAAAGCCAUUUCCAAAUCCUAAACCAGUCCAUACCCAAACCCGCUUACCCUUUCUCCCACUCUCCCCAACCACAAACCAGAAUGCCGCCCUCGUCUUCUUCUUUUCCGCCCUCUCUUCCUCAUUUGAUCGCCCGCCAACGAAGCAACGCCGUGCCAGACCACCAGUCCUCCACCACGCCAGACUUCAGCCCCCGCUGACCGUCAUCUCUGUCUGAGCCUAUCCCCUGCAACUGCGCCAGCGCCCGUUCGCCCGUGCGCAACACCACCGCACUGCUGCAACCGCUACAACGCCAAUGUCGCCCUUCCUUUUCUUCUAGCGACGACAACCACCGCGCUAUCCACCAGGACCAGUGCUUCGAUUAGAUAUGAUAGAGAAUUUCAAGCCUUGUCUUAAUGUAGCGUACGGGGAAAUCAAAAGGCGUUGGCAAGCAAAAGAAAAGCUUGCAAUUGCUCCACCCUCUACGGACUCCAGGGAAGUUCAUCUCUUAUUUUAUUUCUCUUUAUAUUGAAGAUAAUGUAUGCUUUAGAUGUGGGGAGGGGAUUAUGUAAUUUUUUUGGGCAAUUCUUUCGAUUUGUGCUAUUUUAUGCCUAAUUUGUUGUCCUUUCGCAUAUUUUUAGAUUAGUCUGAAGUGAGUCAAAGGUGGUUUGUGUGAUAGGUUAGUCUGGCAUGAUUAAUGACAUUGGAUUUGAAAUAUGUAAAUAUGUUGAGUCAGAUUGACAUUUGAAAACUGUGAGAAUUUGAGCCUAUAUUCUAAAAAACUUACGUUAAAAAAAUAAACCACAUAAUAUUCAAGCUUUUGGAAUUUCUUUCAUGUGUGAUUUGUAGUGCUCAAUUAGAUGACCUAGAACUUGAAUAAUUAUGCAUAUUCAACUUGCAAUUAUCAAGUCUUGCAUUUUGAAAAUGAUAAGGACAUUAAGUAACCCUGUUAAGUAUUUCUUCAUCACCAAGCACAGUAUAUUUUCUUUAAUUAGCUCAUUUGAUCUUUUUUAGCUUAUUUUUACUUCUAUACUGUCUUUUAGCCUUAUACUUUUUUUUAAAAAAAAAAAAGGCCUUUUUUGAUUUGGACCCUAUGUUAGAAAGAAUUCCUUUAAAUUCAUGUUGUGAUGCACUUAUUGUUCAACGCUAGUUAUAUAUCAAAUUUGGGCAUGAAUAAAUAACAUGUCCAUGAGUGAUUGUUGCAAUGGGAAUUGGUGGUGAAGGUAUAUAUAUAUAAAUAUAUACACGUAUAUAUAAAAAGGCAAAAGCCAAAAAAAAAAACGGCCAAAAAAAGAAGUCAAUAAAGAAAAAAAAAAAAAAAAAAAAAAAAAAAAAAGAGAAAA